RNAcentral lists this ribosomal RNA (497 nucleotides) under uncultured bacterium. RNAcentral's name for it is "partial 16S ribosomal RNA". It matches the Rfam family "Bacterial small subunit ribosomal RNA", at positions 28 to 507 of the family's 1533-position model. The record is from RNAcentral.
GAUGAACGCUGGCGGCGAGCCUAAUACAUGCAAGUCGAGCGAACGGACGAGAAGCUUGCUUCUCUGAUGUUAGCGGCGGACGGGUGAGUAACACGUGGAUAACCUACCUAUAAGACUGGGAUAACUUCGGGAAACCGGAGCUAAUACCGGAUAAUAUUUUGAACCGCAUGGUUCAAAAGUGAAAGACGGUCUUGCUGUCACUUAUAGAUGGAUCCGCGCUGCAUUAGCUAGUUGGUAAGGUAACGGCUUACCAAGGCAACGAUGCAUAGCCGACCUGAGAGGGUGAUCGGCCACACUGGAACUGAGACACGGUCCAGACUCCUACGGGAGGCAGCAGUAGGGAAUCUUCCGCAAUGGGCGAAAGCCUGACGGAGCAACGCCGCGUGAGUGAUGAAGGUCUUCGGAUCGUAAAACUCUGUUAUUAGGGAAGAACAUAUGUGUAAGUAACUGUGCACAUCUUGACGGUACCUAAUCAGAAAGCCACGGCUAACUACGUG